GCAUAUCAAUAAGCGGAGGAAAAGAAACCAACAGGGAUUGCCCCUAGUAACGGCGAGUGAAGCGGCAACAGCUCAAAUUUGAAAUCUGGCGUCUUUGGCGUCCGAGUUGUAAUUUGCAGAGGGCGCUUUGGCAUUGGCAGCGGUCCAAGUUCCUUGGAACAGGACGUCACAGAGGGUGAGAAUCCCGUACGUGGUCGCUAGCCUUUACCGUGUAAAGCCCCUUCGACGAGUCGAGUUGUUUGGGAAUGCAGCUCUAAAUGGGAGGUAAAUUUCUUCUAAAGCUAAAUACUGGCCAGAGACCGAUAGCGCACAAGUAGAGUGAUCGAAAGAUGAAAAGCACUUUGGAAAGAGAGUUAAAAAGCACGUGAAAUUGUUGAAAGGGAAGCGCUUGCAGCCAGACUUGCCUGUAGUUGCUCAUCCGGGUUUUUACCCGGUGCACUCUUCUAUAGGCAGGCCAGCAUCAGUUUGGGCGGUUGGAUAAAGGUCUCUGUCACGUACCUCCUCUCGGGGAGAACUUAUAGGGGAGACGUAAUGCAACCAGCCUGGACUGAGGUCCGCGCAUCUGCUAGGAUGCUGGCGUAAUGGCUGUAAGCGGCCCGUCUUGAAACACGGACCAAGGAGUCUAACAUCUAUGCGAGUGUUUGGGUGUCAAGCCCGAGCGCGUAAUGAAAGUGAACGGAGGUGGGAACCUUUCGGGGUGCACCAUCGACCGAUCCUGAUGUCUUCGGAUGGAUUUGAGUAAGAGCAUAGCUGUUGGGACCCGAAAGAUGGUGAACUAUGCUUGAAUAGGGUGAAGCCAGAGGAAACUCUGGUGGAGGCUCGCAGCGGUUCUGACGUGCAAAUCGAUCGUCAAAUUUGGGCAUAGGGGCGAAAGACUAAUCGAACUAUCUAGUAGCUGGUUCUGGUGAGG
This 910-nucleotide ribosomal RNA is filed under the name Boeremia foveata. RNAcentral's name for it is "LSU rRNA". It matches the Rfam family "Eukaryotic large subunit ribosomal RNA", at positions 38 to 966 of the family's 3401-position model. Lineage: Eukaryota; Fungi; Ascomycota; Dothideomycetes; Pleosporales; Didymellaceae. The record is from RNAcentral.